Molecule: ribosomal RNA, 497 nt
Filed under: uncultured bacterium
Lineage: Bacteria
Description: partial 16S ribosomal RNA
Rfam family: Bacterial small subunit ribosomal RNA
Source: RNAcentral
GAUGAACGCUGGCGGCGUGCCUAAUACAUGCAAGUCGAGCGAACAGACGAGGCGCUUGCUCCUCUGACGUUAGCGGCGGACGGGUGAGUAACACGUGGAUAACCUCCCUAUAAGACUGGGAUAACUUCGGGAAACCGGCGCUAAUACCGGAUAAUAUAUUGAACCGCAUGGUUCAAUAGUGAAAGUCGGUUUUUCUGUCACUUAUAGCUGGAUCUCCGCCGCAUUAGCUAGUUGGUAAGGUCACGGGUUACCAAGGCAACGAUGCGUAGCCGACCUGAGAGAGGGGUCGGCCACAUGGGAGCGUAAACACGGUCAUGACGACUACGAUAGGCAGCAGUAGGGAAUCUUCCGCAAUAGGCGAAAGCUUUGCGGAGCAAGGCCGCGUGAGUGAUGAAGGUGUUGGGUGCGUAAAGCUCUGUUAUGAGUGAAGAACAAAUGUGUAAUUAACUAUGCACGUCGUGACGGUACCUGAUCAGAAAGCAACGGCUAACUACGUG